AGUGAACGCUGGCGGUAGGCCUAACACAUGCAAGUCGAACGGCAGCACAGUAAGAGCUUGCUCUUACGGGUGGCGAGUGGCGGACGGGUAAGGAAUACAUCGGAAUCUACUUUUUCGUGGGGGAUAACGUAGGGAAACUUACGCUAAUACCGCAUACGACCUACGGGUGAAAGCAGGGGAUCUUCGGACCUUGCGCGAUUGAAUGAGCCGAUGUCGGAUUAGCUAGUUGGCGGGGUAAAGGCCCACCAAGGCGACGAUCCGUAGCUGGUCUGAGAGGAUGAUCAGCCACACUGGAACUGAGACACGGUCCAGACUCCUACGGGAGGCAGCAGUGGGGAAUAUUGGACAAUGGGCACAAGCCUGAUCCAGCCAUACCGCGUGGGUGAAGAAGGCCUUCGGGUUGUAAAGCCCUUUUGUUGGGAAAGAAAAGCAGCAGGUUAAUACCCCGCUGUUCUGACGGUACCCAAAGAAUAAGCACCGGCUAACUUCGUG
Molecule: ribosomal RNA, 492 nt
Filed under: uncultured bacterium
Lineage: Bacteria
Description: partial 16S ribosomal RNA
Rfam family: Bacterial small subunit ribosomal RNA
Source: RNAcentral